GACGAACGCUGGCGGCGUGCUUAACACAUGCAAGUCGAGCGGUAAGGCCCUUUCGGGGGUACACGAGCGGCGAACGGGUGAGUAACACGUGGGUGACCUGCCCUUAGCUCUGGGAUAAGCCUGGGAAACUGGGUCUAAUACCGGAUAUGACUCCAUAACGCAUGUUGUGGGGUGGAAAGCCUUGUGCGGCUAGGGAUGGGCCCGCGGCCUAUCAGCUUGUUGGUGGGGUGAUGGCCACCAAGGCGACGACGGGUAGCCGGCCUGAGAGGGCGACCGGCCACACUGGGACUGAGACACGGCCCAGACUCCUACGGGAGGGCAGCAGUGGGGAAUCUUGCGCAAUGGGGCGAAAGCCUGACGCAGCGACGCCGCGUGGGGAGU
Molecule: ribosomal RNA, 381 nt
Filed under: uncultured bacterium
Lineage: Bacteria
Description: bacterial SSU rRNA
Rfam family: Bacterial small subunit ribosomal RNA
Source: RNAcentral